This is a long non-coding RNA of Erpetoichthys calabaricus (reedfish), 504 nucleotides long. RefSeq lists it as uncharacterized. The record is from RefSeq and is a predicted model, not a curated record. NCBI's taxonomy places the organism in Eukaryota, Metazoa, Chordata, Cladistia, Polypteriformes, Polypteridae. The transcript is spliced from 2 exons.
UUCUUUAGACGUUGUCCUGGGGUCUUUUGUGACCUCUCGGAUGAGUCGUCUCUGCGCUCUUGGGGUAAUUUUGGUCGGCCGGCCACUCCUGGGAAGGUUCACCACUGUUCCAUGUUUUUGCCAUUUGUGGAUAAUGGCUCUCACUGUGGUUCGCUGGAGUCCCAAAGCUUUAGAAAUGGCUUUAUAACCUUUACCAGACUGAUAGAUCUCAAUUACUUCUGUUCUCAUUUGUUCCUGAAUUCUUUGGAUCUUGGCAUGAUGUCUAUCUUUUGAGGUGCUUUUGGUCUACUUCUCUGUGUCAGGCAGCUCCUAUUUAAGUGAUUUCUUGAUUGAAACAGGUGUGGCAGUAAUCAGGCCUGGGGGUGGCUACGGAAAUUGAACUCAGGUGUGAUACACCACAGUUAGGUUAUUUUUAACAAGGGGGCAAUUACUUUUUCACACAGGGCCAUGUAGGUUUGGAUUUUUUUUUCUCCCUAAAUAAUAAAAACCAUCAUUUAAAAACUG